This 200-nucleotide ribosomal RNA is filed under the name uncultured bacterium. RNAcentral describes it as "partial 16S ribosomal RNA". It matches the Rfam family "Bacterial small subunit ribosomal RNA", at positions 1293 to 1500 of the family's 1533-position model. The record is from RNAcentral.
UCGGACUGGAGUCUGCAACCCGACUCCACGAAGUUGGAUUCGCUAGUAAUCGCGCAUCAGCCAUGGCGCGGUGAAUACGUUCCCGGGCCUUGUACACACCGCCCGUCAAGCCAUGGGAGCCGGGGGCACUUGAAGUACGCCGCCGCGAGGAGCGUCCUAGAGUGAAACUGGUGACUGGGGCUAAGUCGUAACAAGGUAAC